UCUGGUGAUGAUAGCGGUGUGGAACUACCUGAUUCCAUUCCGAACUCAGAAGUCAAACGCACCUGCGGCGAUGAUAGUAUAUCGGCAACGGUAUGCGAAAAUAGCGCGUCGCCAGAU
RNAcentral lists this ribosomal RNA (117 nucleotides) under Candidatus Woesebacteria bacterium RIFCSPHIGHO2_01_FULL_39_17. Lineage: Bacteria; Candidatus Woeseibacteriota. The record is from RNAcentral. RNAcentral also lists the same sequence under 1 other name.